AUAUAUUCUUAUGUGGGAUUGAAUACGGUUGAUUUGCUUAUUUUGAAGAAAAUAUUGGGAUGCGUAAAGUGUCCCUUUCCCUUUUCUACUUAAUUCGCUUAUCAUACUGUUUCUUUUUCGCGUAAGAAUGUAUUUGCUUGAUUGUAAAGCUUCUUAGAGGAACGAUGUGUGUCUAACACAA
Molecule: ribosomal RNA, 181 nt
Filed under: Plasmodium cynomolgi
Lineage: Eukaryota; Apicomplexa; Aconoidasida; Haemosporida; Plasmodiidae
Description: partial small subunit ribosomal RNA
Source: RNAcentral